GGGGCAGGAGGUUACAGCGGAUGAAAUCGAGAACAAAGGCAGGGAUUCUUUGUCACCAGCUAGGUAGUUGUCACACCGUUCUUCACAAAGAUAAAGCAGUUACAUGCAACCUUGCUCAGCGUCAAGUGGAAUUUGUAGCAUUAACAGUUUGGGCUUCUUAGAAAACCUGGUGGAUUUGUUGUUCAGCAAUGUCGUGGGAACCCCCCAGCACAUCAGGAGAAGAACGCUGAGGCAGUAUGUGGCCAGGCACCAGUCCCACUUCAGAUCGAGGACAGGAGGGAUGAUUUGUCAUGGAGUGCCCUGACUAAAAGACAGGUUGAUACAGAUUUUCUGAACUGGAAGAGACACUCGGCAUUCAAAUUAUACAAGACACAUCUAUUACUUUUCAUAAUAUUUUGUUAUAAUUUAAUUGAAUGGUGGGGGCUGUGUAUUCUUCAAACAUGUUAGGGAGCUGUUUAACUGACUUGCCUAGUUAAAUAAAGGUUAAAUAAAAUA
This is a non-coding RNA of Salmo salar (Atlantic salmon), 495 nucleotides long. Lineage: Eukaryota; Metazoa; Chordata; Actinopteri; Salmoniformes; Salmonidae. The record is from RefSeq and is a predicted model, not a curated record.